RNAcentral lists this long non-coding RNA (1972 nucleotides) under Pan troglodytes (chimpanzee). Its description in RNAcentral is "long non-coding RNA NONPTRT009769". The record is from RNAcentral. Lineage: Eukaryota; Metazoa; Chordata; Mammalia; Primates; Hominidae.
CUGCGCUUUAAUUAGGAUCUCCCCGAGGAUACUUCGGCUUUCUUCCACACCCGGGAGUUUGCAGAUUCCCUCUUAGUGCACCAGGCUGAUUAGAUUUCUUAAUUCCCUAAAACAUGCUGUCUCGAAGCCUAAUACCCUUGUAGGGAUGAGGUCUGUUUCUCUGCCUCUCCUCUCAUUACAGUGCUAAAUCCAGGCAGUGGUCUCCCUUACGGCACUUGCUUCUUCCCUGGCUCCGGACCCCUUUUUUGAUGGGGUAAAGAACAAGCCUGUGUCAACAAGAGACCGAAUAAGAAACCCUCAAGGAGGAGACGUGGGAGUUGCCUUCAUUCAUUGGAUAGAGUGCCGCAGCACAGGAUGCUCUGAGAGGCCAGCACCACACCCUCUUGACCAUGCUGUAGCCAUAAAUGUUCCAGAGGCAUCUGAGAAAACCACUGCAGAAUACACAGAGCACAGCUGCAUUUUGUCUUCUCCACCUACAACAGGGUUUGCUCUACCCUGCCAUAUCACAGGCUCCUGAAAAGACCAACUCACAGCACCACAGGAUGUGAUUAAGCCUUGGAGAAGAUUAAUUACCCACUUUCUUAGGAGUCGGUCUCUCCUCGCCACUCACUCAAGUUCCUUUACCCCCCACUAAGCCUCUGAAAGAAUCUAACAUCAUAAACAAGGAUCUCAUUAGCAACUUGAAUUCGGGCUGCAGAUCUUUUGUGAAGAUUUGGUUACAGAUGCUGCUUUAACUUCUGAGGAUUAUUCUUCAGCAUCCAGGGAGACUCCAGUUGCUCUCCUGGGAAAUGUUCUCUCACUUGAAUAACUCAUCUGUUCACCCAUUGGCAUAACUGCUGCCAGUUCCAAGCACCUGCUGAGGAGUGGACCCAGAUUAGGCCUCUGGCAGGGCUACAAAGAACACAUUUCAGUGUUGGACUUCCCAUUCCAUUUGCAUCUUCAGGGGAAGUUAAUGUCCCACUCAAGUUUCUCUCAGUUAGGGUGACAGGGAGAUGCAGUUCUUCAAAUGCUGUCCUCAAGUAGAGAGGGAGACCACAGAGCUCCGACUGGCUUGCCAGCCCAUGGAGCCAUUUUUUCUUUGGUGGUGGAUGCUCUCGGUGUGGCCUCUAGAGCUCCUUUCAUGUUCCUUUUCUCUCUGCAUUCCCACCGCUCUCCCCUCAGGUGGGUCCACAUCACCUCUCGCCUGGACCUCAGUCUGUCUCCUCUCUGCUAACCAGGGUAUCUUCACUUCCCUGCAGCUUUCACACAGCAGCCAGAUUAAUGUUCCUCAGUGCAGCUUUGAUCACACCACUGUGCCCAAACAAAAUCUUUCAUGGCCCCCAGCUACCCGGUGAUCAAAGUCCAGGGUCCUCACUCCAGCAUUAAAGAGCCUCUGUAUUGUGGAUCCCAAAUCAUCACAUGCCCCACCUCCAUCACCCAUCUGUUCCACUCCCACCUACCUCAACCUCAGUUCUAGUCCUUCAAGCUGCAGGCAGCAGCUCAUCGAGAAGGUCAUGAAAUCAAUGAAGUAUGUGACGAAAGCAUUUUAAAAUGAAAUUUAUAGCAAAAGAACAAAUAUGCAUAUGGCUUUCUAUAUAGCAGGCUCCAUUCCAAAUACUUUGCAUAGACUCACAUACUUCUCACACUGUCCCUAGGGAAAUAAGCACUCUUGCUAUCCCUGUUUUACAGAUAAGGACACAGACCCAGGGAGGUUAAAUAAGUUGUCCAAGGUGAUUAAUUCUGGCUUGAACCCAGAGAGCCUUGUAUCAGAAGCCACACUCUGCUAUACUCCCCAUGAUGUACUAUAUGGAAUAAAACUAUAUUCUAGAUUUUGUAAAACCAUAUGGAACAGAAUAGAAAAUUUAGGGCAUUCUGUAUAUACAAUGGUAAAUGUUCCAUGAAGGUCUGUUGGAGAUAAAUAUAAAUGUAUACACACAAGACUACAGUAGAAAAUGUGUAUUGUGCUGAGUACACAAGGUCAAGUGUUUGUCUU